AGUAACGUGUGGGCAACCUGCCCUGUACUGGGGAAUAAUCAUUGGAAACGAUGACUAAUACCGCAUGUGGUCCUCGGAAGGCAUCUUCUGAGGAAGAAAGGAUUUAUUCGGUACAGGAUGGGCCCGCAUCUGAUUAGCUAGUUGGUGAGGUAAUGGCCCACCAAGGCGACGAUCGGUAGCCGGACUGAGAGGUUGAACGGCCACAUUGGGACUGAGACACGGCCCAG
This 227-nucleotide ribosomal RNA is filed under the name uncultured bacterium. Its description in RNAcentral is "partial 16S ribosomal RNA". It matches the Rfam family "Bacterial small subunit ribosomal RNA", at positions 109 to 334 of the family's 1533-position model. The record is from RNAcentral.